GCAUAUCCAAAAGCGGAGGAAAAGAAACCACCCGGGAUUGCCUUAGUAACGGCGAGUGAAGCGGCAAAAGCUCAAAUUUGAAAUCUGGUACCUUCGGUGCCCGAGUUGUAAUUUGGAGAGGGCAACUUUGGGGCCGUUCCUCGUCUAUGUUCCUUGGAACAGGACGUCAUAGAGGGUGAGAAUCCCGUGUGGCGAGGAGUGCGGUUCUUUGUAAAGUGCCUUCGAAGAGUCGAGUUGUUUGGGAAUGCAGCUCUAAGUGGGUGGUAAAUUCCAUCUAAAGCUAAAUAUUGGCGAGAGACCGAUAGCGAACAAGUACAGUGAUGGAAAGAUGAAAAGAACUUUGAAAAGAGAGUGAAAAAGUACGUGAAAUUGUUGAAAGGGAAGGGCAUUUGAUCAGACAUGGUGUUUUGUGCCCUCUGCUCCUUGUGGGUAGGGGAAUCUCGCAUUUCACUGGGCCAGCAUCAGUUUUGGUGGCAGGAUAAAUCCAUAGGAAUGUAGCUUGCCUCGGUAAGUAUUAUAGCCUGUGGGAAUACUGCCAGCUGGGACUGAGGACUGCGACGUAAGUCAAGGAUGCUGCA
RNAcentral lists this ribosomal RNA (578 nucleotides) under Saccharomyces cerevisiae (brewer's yeast). RNAcentral's name for it is "eukaryotic LSU rRNA". It matches the Rfam family "Eukaryotic large subunit ribosomal RNA", at positions 38 to 630 of the family's 3401-position model. The record is from RNAcentral. Lineage: Eukaryota; Fungi; Ascomycota; Saccharomycetes; Saccharomycetales; Saccharomycetaceae.